Molecule: ribosomal RNA, 253 nt
Filed under: uncultured bacterium
Lineage: Bacteria
Description: partial 16S ribosomal RNA
Rfam family: Bacterial small subunit ribosomal RNA
Source: RNAcentral
GACGAACCGUGCGAACGUUGUUCGGAAUCACUGGGCUUAAAGGGUGCGUAGGCGGGCGAUCAAGUCAGGGGUGAAAUCCUCCAGCUUAACUGGAGAACUGCCUUUGAUACUGGUCAUCUUGAGUGCGGUAGGGGAGACUGGAAUUCCUGGUGUAGCGGUGAAAUGCGCAGAUAUCAGGAGGAACACCGGUGGCGAAGGCGGGUCUCUGGGCCGUAACUGACGCUGAGGAGCGAAAGCAUGGGGAGCGAACAGG